UACGAGGGGGGCGAGCGUUGUUCGGAAUUAUUGGGCGUAAAGGGUGCGUAGGCGGUUUGGUAAGUCUGAUGUGAAAUCUAUGGGCUCAACUCAUAGUCUGCAUCGGAAACUGCCGGGCUUGAGUAUGGGAGAGGUGAGUGGAAUUCCUGGUGUAGCGGUGAAAUGCGUAGAUAUCAGGAAGAACACCUAUGGCGGAGGCAGCUCGCUGGGACGGGACUGACGCUGAGACGCGAAAGCGUGGGGAUCGAACAGG
This 253-nucleotide ribosomal RNA is filed under the name uncultured bacterium. Its description in RNAcentral is "partial 16S ribosomal RNA". It matches the Rfam family "Bacterial small subunit ribosomal RNA", at positions 524 to 776 of the family's 1533-position model. The record is from RNAcentral.